This 482-nucleotide ribosomal RNA is filed under the name uncultured bacterium. RNAcentral's name for it is "partial 16S ribosomal RNA". It matches the Rfam family "Bacterial small subunit ribosomal RNA", at positions 30 to 507 of the family's 1533-position model. The record is from RNAcentral.
UGACCGCUGGCGGCAGGCCUACCACAUGCACGUCGAGCGGAUGAAGGGAGCUUGCUCCUGGAUUCAGCGGCGGACGGGUGAGUAAUGCCUAGGAAUCUGCCUGGUAGUGGGGGAUAACGUCCGGAAACGGGCGCUAAUACCGCAUACGUCCUGAGGGAGAAAGUGGGGGAUCUUCGGACCUCACGCUAUCAGAUGAGCCUAGGUCGGAUUAGCUAGUUGGUGGGGUAAAGGCCUACCAAGGCGACGAUCCGUAACUGGUCUGAGAGGAUGAUCAGUCACACUGGAACUGAGACACGGUCCAGACUCCUACGGGAGGCAGCAGUGGGGAAUAUUGGACAAUGGGCGAAAGCCUGAUCCAGCCAUGCCGCGUGUGUGAAGAAGGUCUUCGGAUUGUAAAGCACUUUAAGUUGGGAGGAAGGGCAGUAAGUUAAUACCUUGCUGUUUUGACGUUACCAACAGAAUAAGCACCGGCUAACUUCGUG